AUGAAUAUAUACAUAUAUUGAUGAAAGACAACCGUGGUUAAAACAAGUCAGUUACAUCCCACAAACUCUCGCACAACUCAGUAACUACCCAACUAUAGCCCCAUAACUAUGCGGUAAAAUAUAAACAAUUACUCUCACAUAACCAAGUUUCACAAACAUAUAUCUACAAGUUCCUUGGUAAACAAUAAAUAUCAAAUCAUAUACAGAGUUAUUUAAACAUUCUUCCCCACACCACACAAAACCUAUAAACUAAAAACCUAUGAUGCACCGGGACGGAUACGGGGACAGAAACGGGGACGGAAGCGGGAACGGGAAACGGCAAAAUUUAAAAAUUAUGGGUACGGGUACGGCAAAUAUAUAUUAGUAAAAAACAUAAAAUAUUUAUAAAAAAAAACAAAUUUAUACAGCAAAUCUAACAUAAUUAAAUAUAAUUUACUAUAAUAUGUCUAUUUUGCCAACUAAAAUUAGAAGCAAGAUAAUAGUGACAGUUAAAAGACAAUUACACAAGCAUUAGGUCCCGUGAAAACUAGUCUUAUUCAUAACUAAGUUCUCUAACCGUCCCCAAGCCGUACCAGUGCUGUCCCCGUGAAGUACCCGUCCCCGAAACGUUUCCGGUACCGGUACGGCAUCUAAAUAGACGUCCCCGUGCUACACAGCUAAAAACAUCAUCACUGCACCGACAAACACAAACAAACACAUACAAUGCUUCACUACAUAACAAAACAACUGAGCUCCACCAUAAUAUACAUCACCAGAUAAAAACAAAACAACAACACACACAAUGAUCAAUACACAACAAUU
Molecule: long non-coding RNA, 801 nt
Filed under: Brassica napus (rape)
Lineage: Eukaryota; Viridiplantae; Streptophyta; Magnoliopsida; Brassicales; Brassicaceae
Description: long non-coding RNA (BNAP_LNC002693)
Source: RNAcentral